CGUGACUCGGAUUGGGGGACCACCUUUGGCAGAUCAAUCCCCUGUCCUGCUCUUUGCUCCAUGAGAAAGAUCCACCUACAACCUUGGGUCCUCAGACCAAGCAGCCCAAGGAACAUCUCACCAAUUUUAAAUCAGGGGCAUGAAAUGGAUUUGUUGAACAUAACGUGUCCAGAAUUGGUGGGUCCUUGAUCUCACUGACCUCAAGAGUGAAGCCACGGACUCUCACGAAUGGCGUGGCAGAGAUAAGAGAAGGAGCAUCUGAAUGCUGAGAAGAGUUUGGCUGGAGAUGGUUGGAGAGGAGAUCGGCUGCUGGAUG
Pan troglodytes (chimpanzee) is the source of this 316-nucleotide long non-coding RNA. RefSeq lists it as uncharacterized. Lineage: Eukaryota; Metazoa; Chordata; Mammalia; Primates; Hominidae. The transcript has 3 exons. The record is from RefSeq and is a predicted model, not a curated record.